UACAUAGGGUGCAAGCGUUGUCCGGAAUUAUUGGGCGUAAAGAGCUCGUAGGCGGUUUGUCGCGUCUGCUGUGAAAUCCCGAGGCUCAACCUCGGGUCUGCAGUGGGUACGGGCAGACUAGAGUGUGGUAGGGGAGAUUGGAACUCCUGGUGUAGCGGUGGAAUGCGCAGAUAUCAGGAAGAACACCAAUGGCGAAGGCAGAUCUCUGGGCCAUUACUGACGCUGAGGAGCGAAAGCGUGGGGAGCGAACAGG
Molecule: ribosomal RNA, 253 nt
Filed under: uncultured bacterium
Lineage: Bacteria
Description: partial 16S ribosomal RNA
Rfam family: Bacterial small subunit ribosomal RNA
Source: RNAcentral